AAGGAGGUGGAAAUCAGAGACCCUAUGGACAGAACAGUCCCUGGCUCCACCCCCUGUAUCUUACAUUGAGUGGAAGAGUUUGAUAACAGAGAAGUGGGAGACCCAUCCAAUUGCCGGGUGGGUUGAGGGGAGGAUGGCAUCAAGGAAAACUUCCUGGAGGGGCGGCUGAUUAUUCCCAUUCUGAGAACAGGAAUACCGAGUCAUGAGGGAGAUCCUGCUGCUCCAGGUGGCUGCAAAGAAUUAGAACCAGAGCCCGAGGAGCGAUUUGGGGCCUGGUUCCAGGACAUGGAGCUGCUCAACCAGAAUGAUAGCUACAGCCUGUCCUGCCAGCUGGAACCCCAGGCUUAGUUGGGCAACAGAAUAUUCAAGGCCAAGAAGAACCGGCCAUCAUCAAGUUCAGGGCCCCCAGGCCCCAACACCGAGCCCCAUACCAGUGGCCGAUCACAGCCCUAUCCUCAGCAGCGCAGACACAGCUGGGAGGCUUGCGAUGCACAGGGCCAGCUCCUCACACACGACGGGAAGGGGAGCAUUGUAAGCUGAUUCAUGGGGACCCCUGGAGCCCAAGAGAGAGGGGACAACCCCACCCCAGCUCCCUGACAUCUCUACCCCAGCGCCUAUUCACCCAUUGGGGAGGAACAGUAGUUAUGUGUUGUAAAUAAUAAAUGCCAUAUUUGAAUAUUAUAUUCAAGUCCUGUUCCCUUUACAGCCUGGGAGUUGUGGUGUGGUUCUGUCGCUUUCUGUAGGCAUGUGAGAGAGACACAGAAUCUCACAUUUCUCCUUGAAUCAAGAACUCUUCUGGGUCAUCAGCUUAUUGUAUGUGGGGGAAGGGAGAAGGGCCAGCCCCUUCCCUGACUAGUCGGGACACUCCCAAGUCCCCCUAACUCAGAGGACAAGUUCAUUUCAGUAUCAUUCAGCUCCUCCAGGAGCAGACACGGCCCCCCGCCCAUUCUCUUGGGAUUUAAAGGUUGAAGGUACUUUCACAGGCAGAGCAACAACCACUGAAAUGUGGGUGUGUUUAAAACAGCACUACCCAGGACUGUGUCGUGCCACAGGCAGG
Long non-coding RNA from Diceros bicornis minor, 1057 nucleotides. RefSeq lists it as uncharacterized. The record is from RefSeq and is a predicted model, not a curated record. Lineage: Eukaryota; Metazoa; Chordata; Mammalia; Perissodactyla; Rhinocerotidae. The transcript has 4 exons.